Molecule: non-coding RNA, 174 nt
Filed under: uncultured Alistipes sp.
Lineage: Bacteria; Pseudomonadati; Bacteroidota; Bacteroidia; Bacteroidales; Rikenellaceae
Source: RNAcentral
UUGGUUUUCCCAUUCUCCGCAACCGGAGGGGAAAUGAAAAGGGAAUCGGGUGCAAAUCCCGAACAGUCCCGCUGCUGUGAAGCUCCGCGACGUUCCGAACAUCUCAGCCACUGACCUGCACUAGGUCGGGAAGGCCUCGGAACAGGAGCGAGUCAGAAGACCUGCCAGAUCGAU